RNAcentral lists this long non-coding RNA (790 nucleotides) under Citrus x clementina. RNAcentral's name for it is "Citrus clementina (C. clementina) long non-coding RNA (CCLE_LNC003016)". The record is from RNAcentral. Lineage: Eukaryota; Viridiplantae; Streptophyta; Magnoliopsida; Sapindales; Rutaceae.
UUAAUGAUAAUAUAAUUCUCUCCCUACCAUUGUGAGUGGAGUUCAAAUGCUCGAAUAUAUUUUUUUCUCCAAAAAAAAAAGAUAACCAAAAUACAUCAUAAUUUAGGGUUUGUUGGAAGUUUAAGUUCACAUUUAUAGUGCACCGUAGAGGCCAACCAAGUAUGGUUAGAAAUUUGCACCAAUUAAAAGCAAGACUUCUAUCUCCCCACACAAUGAGAUAUAUCUACUCUUACUAAUGGUGGGGAGACAUAUGUUUACUUAAGGGUUGGCAUCAUGGGCGAAAACUAAAAACUUUAGUUACAGGAGGUUGGAGUAAAUAAUUUCUAUAUAGUUUAGAGAUAUUUUUUUAUUUCUAUUAUAAUUUAGGGGAUAUCAUGUAUGUUUAAAUUUUUACAAGAGUCAUGGUCCACUCUAGUCUCCAUUAAGAUCCGCCUCUGGUUGGUAUAGCCUAGGUUUGGUAUGUUUGAGCUGAGGCCGAACCUAAACCGAGGUUGAGAAUUUUUGAACAUGUGGCCAACUAAUUGGGAGGGUCUAAGUUACGUUAAACAUAACUUAGUGCCUGCCCAACUAAUUAUAUGCAUACAUCAAGCCAAAUCAAACCAAAAAUUUCGGUUUGGUUUGAUUGAGUUGGUAGGUAUGGGCUUGGCCUAAGAAAUAUUGUGGGCGUACAUUUUUUUAAACAGUUUAGACUUUUUUUUUUGAAUAAUUUUAAGUUAUCGUUAGUUCAUUUUCAGGUGCAUAUUUAAAAUGCAUUGGUAAUUUAAGAUUUACUAAAUAAAUAUGAUUAACU